CACCGUUCCGAGGGGUGCUCCGAGGAGGAGCUGAGAUACCGCUAAAUGGGCAAAUCCGCCCAGGACCGCGGUGACCCUUUGAACCUGAUCCGGGUCAUGCCGGCGAAGGGACAGGGAUGUUACAGACG
Molecule: non-coding RNA, 128 nt
Filed under: Bradyrhizobium japonicum
Lineage: Bacteria; Pseudomonadati; Pseudomonadota; Alphaproteobacteria; Hyphomicrobiales; Nitrobacteraceae
Also listed under: 1 other name
Description: TPP sequence
Rfam family: TPP riboswitch aptamer (THI element)
About the family: Vitamin B(1) in its active form thiamin pyrophosphate (TPP) is an essential coenzyme that is synthesised by coupling of pyrimidine and thiazole moieties in bacteria. The previously detected thiamin-regulatory element, thi box was extended, resulting in a new, highly conserved RNA secondary structure, the THI element, which is widely distributed in eubacteria and also occurs in some archaea. Analysis of operon structures identified a large number of new candidate thiamin-regulated genes, mostly transporters, in various prokaryotic organisms.
Source: RNAcentral